GACAUUAGACGAAUCAUCUGGAAAGAUGAAUCAAAGAAGGUAAUAAUCCUGUAGUCGAAAAUGUUGUCUCUCUUGAGUGGAUCCUGAGUACGACGGAGCACGUGAAAUUCCGUCGGAAUCUGGGAGGACCAUCUCCUAAGGCUAAAUACUCUCUAGUGACCGAUAGUGAACCAGUACCGUGAGGGAAAGGUGAAAAGCACCCCGGAAGGGGAGUGAAAUAGAACCUGAAACCGUGUGCUUACAAGUAGUCAGAGCCCGUUAAUGGGUGAUGGCGUGCCUUUUGUAGAAUGAACCGGCGAGUUACGAUUUGAUGCAAGGUUAAGCAGUAAAUGUGGAGCCGUAGCGAAAGCGAGUCUGAAUAGGGCGUUUAGUAUUUGGUCGUAGACCCGAAACCAGGUGAUCUACCCUUGGUCAGGUUGAAGUUCAGGUAACACUGAAUGGAGGACCGAACCGACUUACGUUGAAAAGUGAGCGGAUGAACUGAGGGUAGCGGAGAAAUUCCAAUCGAACCUGGAGAUAGCUGGUUCUCUCCGAAAUAGCUUUAGGGCUAGCCUCAAGUGAUGAUUAUUGGAGGUAGAGCACUGUUUGGACGAGGGGCCCCUCUCGGGUUACCGAAUUCAGACAAACUCCGAAUGCCAAUUAAUUUAACUUGGGAGUCAGAACAUGGGUGAUAAGGUCCGUGUUCGAAAGGGAAACAGCCCAGACCACCAGCUAAGGUCCCAAAAUAUAUGUUAAGUGGAAAAGGAUGUGGCGUUGCCCAGACAACUAGGAUGUUGGCUUAGAAGCAGCCAUCAUUUAAAGAGUGCGUAAUAGCUCACUAGUCGAGUGACACUGCGCCGAAAAUGUACCGGGGCUAAACAUAUUACCGAAGCUGUGGAUUGUCCUUUGGACAAUGGUAGGAGAGCGUUCUAAGGGCGUUGAAGCAUGAUCGUAAGGACAUGUGGAGCGCUUAGAAGUGAGAAUGCCGGUGUGAGUAGCGAAAGACGGGUGAGAAUCCCGUCCACCGAUUGACUAAGGUUUCCAGAGGAAGGCUCGUCCGCUCUGGGUUAGUCGGGUCCUAAGCUGAGGCCGACAGGCGUAGGCGAUGGAUAACAGGUUGAUAUUCCUGUACCACCUAUAAUCGUUUUAAUCGAUGGGGGGACGCAGUAGGAUAGGCGAAGCGUGCGAUUGGAUUGCACGUCUAAGCAGUAAGGCUGAGUAUUAGGCAAAUCCGGUACUCGUUAAGGCUGAGCUGUGAUGGGGAGAAGACAUUGUGUCUUCGAGUCGUUGAUUUCACACUGCCGAGAAAAGCCUCUAGAUAGAAAAUAGGUGCCCGUACCGCAAACCGACACAGGUAGUCAAGAUGAGAAUUCUAAGGUGAGCGAGCGAACUCUCGUUAAGGAACUCGGCAAAAUGACCCCGUAACUUCGGGAGAAGGGGUGCUCUUUAGGGUUAACGCCCAGAAGAGCCGCAGUGAAUAGGCCCAAGCGACUGUUUAUCAAAAACACAGGUCUCUGCUAAACCGUAAGGUGAUGUAUAGGGGCUGACGCCUGCCCGGUGCUGGAAGGUUAAGAGGAGUGGUUAGCUUCUGCGAAGCUACGAAUCGAAGCCCCAGUAAACGGCGGCCGUAACUAUAACGGUCCUAAGGUAGCGAAAUUCCUUGUCGGGUAAGUUCCGACCCGCACGAAAGGCGUAACGAUUUGGGCACUGUCUCAACGAGAGACUCGGUGAAAUCAUAGUACCUGUGAAGAUGCAGGUUACCCGCGACAGGACGGAAAGACCCCGUGGAGCUUUACUGUAGCCUGAUAUUGAAAUUCGGCACAGCUUGUACAGGAUAGGUAGGAGCCUUUGAAACGUGAGCGCUAGCUUACGUGGAGGCGCUGGUGGGAUACUACCCUAGCUGUGUUGGCUUUCUAACCCGCACCACUUAUCGUGGUGGGAGACAGUGUCAGGCGGGCAGUUUGACUGGGGCGGUCGCCUCCUAAAAGGUAACGGAGGCGCUCAAAGGUUCCCUCAGAAUGGUUGGAAAUCAUUCAUAGAGUGUAAAGGCAUAAGGGAGCUUGACUGCGAGACCUACAAGUCGAGCAGGGUCGAAAGACGGACUUAGUGAUCCGGUGGUUCCGCAUGGAAGGGCCAUCGCUCAACGGAUAAAAGCUACCCCGGGGAUAACAGGCUUAUCUCCCCCAAGAGUUCACAUCGACGGGGAGGUUUGGCACCUCGAUGUCGGCUCAUCGCAUCCUGGGGCUGUAGUCGGUCCCAAGGGUUGGGCUGUUCGCCCAUUAAAGCGGUACGCGAGCUGGGUUCAGAACGUCGUGAGACAGUUCGGUCCCUAUCCGUCGUGGGCGUAGGAAAUUUGAGAGGAGCUGUCCUUAGUACGAGAGGACCGGGAUGGACAUACCUCUGGUGUACCAGUUGUCGUGCCAACGGCAUAGCUGGGUAGCUAUGUGUGGACGGGAUAAGUGCUGAAAGCAUCUAAGCAUGAAGCCCCCCUCAAGAUGAGAUUUCCCAACUUCGGUUAUAAGAUCCCUCAAAGAUGAUGAGGUUAAUAGGUUCGAGGUGGAAGCAUGGUGACAUGUGGAGCUGACGAAUACUAAUCGAUCGAAGACUUAAUCAA
Molecule: ribosomal RNA, 2593 nt
Filed under: Staphylococcus aureus
Lineage: Bacteria; Bacillati; Bacillota; Bacilli; Caryophanales; Staphylococcaceae
Description: bacterial LSU rRNA
Rfam family: Bacterial large subunit ribosomal RNA
Source: RNAcentral